Molecule: transfer RNA, 76 nt
Filed under: Paracoccaceae bacterium
Lineage: Bacteria; Pseudomonadati; Pseudomonadota; Alphaproteobacteria; Rhodobacterales; Paracoccaceae
Description: Rhodobacteraceae bacterium (hot springs metagenome) tRNA-Thr
Rfam family: tRNA
About the family: Transfer RNA (tRNA) molecules are approximately 80 nucleotides in length.
Source: RNAcentral
GCCCCUAUAGCUCAGCUGGUAGAGCGCUAGUUUUGUAAACUAGAUGUCGGCGGUUCGAUCCCGUCUGGGGGCACCA